ACGGAAGGCAGCAGUGGGGGAUAUUGCACAAUGGGCGAAAGCCUGAUGCAGCAACGCCGCGUGAGGGAAGACGGUUUUCGGAUUGUAAACCUCUGUCUUUGGUGAAGAAGAAAGUGACGGUAGCCAAGGAGGAAGCCACGGCUAACUACGUGCCAGCAGCCGCGGUAAUACGUAGGUGGCAAGCGUUAUCCGGAAUUACUGGGUGUAAAGGGAGCGCAGGCGGGACUGCAAGUUGGAUGUGAAAUACCGCAGCUUAACUGCGGAGCUGCAUCCAAAACUGUAGUUCUUGAGUGAAGUAGAGGUAGGCGGAAUUCCGAGUGUAGCGGUGAAAUGCGUAGAUAUUCGGAGGAACACCGGUGGCGAAGGCGGCCUACUGGGCUUUUACUGACGCUGAGGCUCGAAAGUGUGGGGAGCAAACAGGAUUAGAUACCCUGGUA
This 437-nucleotide ribosomal RNA is filed under the name uncultured Oscillospiraceae bacterium. RNAcentral's name for it is "partial 16S ribosomal RNA". It matches the Rfam family "Bacterial small subunit ribosomal RNA", at positions 341 to 792 of the family's 1533-position model. Lineage: Bacteria; Bacillati; Bacillota; Clostridia; Eubacteriales; Oscillospiraceae. The record is from RNAcentral.